CGUCAAAGUCCCAGCUUUCAAAUACAGAGCCCCCAGAACCUGAAAUCCAAGUCCCAGCCCAUAAGGGUUCCGUGAACACGCUCAUGUGCUUGUUCUUACUAGACAAAGAUGUGAUUGCAAGAACAAGACCCCUGCCCUGGGAAACUCAACACUGGACAUCUCAAGCUCUUCCUACUCCUGAACAUGCCAUGGAACCACAACUGGUGAUGGAGCCAAAAGCCGUGAACAGUGGGACAUUUGAAACCCCUCAGCAAGCAUGCUUGCUAACAUGAUUUCCAGGGAAGUGUUA
Homo sapiens (human) is the source of this 289-nucleotide long non-coding RNA. The record is from Ensembl. Lineage: Eukaryota; Metazoa; Chordata; Mammalia; Primates; Hominidae.